AUUGAACGCUGGCGGCAUGCCUUACACAUGCAAGUCGAACGGCAGCACGGGUGCUUGCACCUGGUGGCGAGUGGCGAACGGGUGAGUAAUAUAUCGGAACGUACCUUAUUGUGGGGGAUAACGCAGCGAAAGCUGUGCUAAUACCGCAUAAUCCCUAAGGGGGAAAGCGGGGGACCGUAAGGCCUCGCGCAAUUAGAGCGGCCGAUACCUGAUUAGCUAGUUGGUGAGGUAAAGGCUCACCAAGGCAACGAUCAGUAGCUGGUCUGAGAGGACGAUCAGCCACACGGGGGCUAAGACACGGCCCAGACUCCUACGGGAGGCAGCAGUGGGGAAUUUUGGACAAGGGGGGCAACCCUGAUCCAGCAAUGCCGCGUGAGUGAAGAAGGCCUUCGGGUUGUAAAGCUCUUUUGUCAGGGAAGAAACAGCAGCUCUAACACAGUUUGCGAAUGACGGUACCUGAAGAAUAAGCACCGGCUAACUACGUGCCAGCAGCCGCCGUAA
Molecule: ribosomal RNA, 501 nt
Filed under: uncultured bacterium
Lineage: Bacteria
Description: partial 16S ribosomal RNA
Rfam family: Bacterial small subunit ribosomal RNA
Source: RNAcentral